CACGUAGGGACCAAGCGUUGUCCGGAUUUAUUGGGCGUAAAGCGCUCGUAGGCGGUUCGGUAAGUCGGGUGUGAAACCUCCAGGCUCAACCUGGUGACGCCACCCGAUACUGCCGUGACUUGAGUUCGGUAGGGGAGCGGGGAAUUCCUGGUGUAGCGGUGAAAUGCGCAGAUAUCAGGAGGAACACCUGCGGUGUAGACGGCUUACUGGACGGUAACUGACGCUGAGGCACGAAAGCGUGGGUAGCAAACAGG
RNAcentral lists this ribosomal RNA (254 nucleotides) under uncultured bacterium. Its description in RNAcentral is "partial 16S ribosomal RNA". It matches the Rfam family "Bacterial small subunit ribosomal RNA", at positions 524 to 776 of the family's 1533-position model. The record is from RNAcentral.